RNAcentral lists this ribosomal RNA (497 nucleotides) under uncultured bacterium. Its description in RNAcentral is "partial 16S ribosomal RNA". It matches the Rfam family "Bacterial small subunit ribosomal RNA", at positions 28 to 507 of the family's 1533-position model. The record is from RNAcentral.
GACGAACGCUGGCGGCGUGCCUAAUACAUGCAAGUUGAGCGAUGAAGAUUGGUGCUUGCCCCAAUUUGAAGAGCAGCGAACGGGUGAGUAACGCGUGGGGAAUCUGCCUUUGAGCGGGGGACAACAUUUGGAAACGAAUGCUAAUACCGCAUAAUAACUUUAAACAUAAGUUUUAAGUUUGAAAGAUGCAAUUGCAUCACUCAAAGAUGAUCCCGCGUUGUAUUAGCUAGGUGGUGAGGUAAAGGCUCACCAAGGCGAUGUUACAUAGCCGACCCGAGAGGGUGAGUCGCCAAAUUGGGAUUGGGACACUGCGCAUCCGCGUUAGGGAGGCGGCAGUACGGAUGUUUCGGCAAUGGACGAAAGUCUGACCGAGCACCGACGCGUGAGUGAAGAAGGUUUUCGUGUCUUGAAACUCUGUUGGUAGAGAAGACAGUUGGUGAGAGUGGAAAGCUCAUAAAGUGACGGUAACUAGCAAGAAAGGGACGGGUAACUACGUG